UGUGGGAGCGGGCUUGCUCGCGAUACAGGCGCUGCGGGUUUUCUGAAGCGGCGCGUUGAUGCAAUCGCGAGCAAGCCCGCUCCCACA
This 87-nucleotide non-coding RNA is filed under the name Pseudomonas psychrophila. Lineage: Bacteria; Pseudomonadati; Pseudomonadota; Gammaproteobacteria; Pseudomonadales; Pseudomonadaceae. The record is from RNAcentral.